Non-coding RNA from Podarcis lilfordi (Lilford's wall lizard), 72 nucleotides. NCBI's taxonomy places the organism in Eukaryota, Metazoa, Chordata, Lepidosauria, Squamata, Lacertidae. The record is from the annotation of a GenBank genome assembly.
GGAGCAUAGCUGAGUGAGCAGAGCAUCUGCUUUGCAUGCAGAAGGUCGCAGGUUUGAUCCCUGGAGUCUCCA